RNAcentral lists this unclassified non-coding RNA (659 nucleotides) under Hevea brasiliensis (rubber tree). Lineage: Eukaryota; Viridiplantae; Streptophyta; Magnoliopsida; Malpighiales; Euphorbiaceae. The record is from RNAcentral.
UGCUUUCUAUUUCUCUUAUAUUACGUAUAGUGCACUGCAAAUAAUAUAUUUUCUUUCCUUUUCAAUAUGGUAUUUUACUUAUUAAACUAGUUAAUAGUAUGAUAUAUAUAUAUAAGCUAUGACGCCUAACUUCAAAAAGGCUCUCGCCUCGCUUCUCGCCUUAAUAACACUUUGCAAUACACAGUUUAUAGCAUGUAUAUGUACUUUGCAUCAAAAGAAUGUAUAUUCACAAAACAAUUCCAAGUGAUUAAAAUAUAGGUAUCACAAGUGAUACAAGACAUAAAAUAAACAUGCCUCAUUUACAAAAUUCCAUCAACCAGCUCAGUACAAAUUUAAACCAUGGUCUCAAAAGGCGACAGGAAAGCAAGAAGUUUUUAAUUUACUGCUCAACAGUGAGGCACAGUGUAAGCCUCAUAGCAUAGAUGCAAGUCAUCACAAUUUUUCAAAACCAAAAGAAACAAAUAAAAAUAAAGAAAUUAGCUAACAUGUCAAAAGAAAAAAAAAAAUAGCAGUUGCAUAAAAAUAAAGCACAACUUCCAAACUGCUUGUUGGGCAAAUGCAUUUGUCAAGAUAUGUAUCCUACCAAAUUCGCUCAAUUUCAUUAAGAUAACAUCAACCCCAUCCCCCCAUCCAAAAAUAAAAAUAAUGAUGAUGAUAAA